CGGAGCAUCUGGUUAAUAAUUGUUUUAACGAUUUAAAGGAUUUUGUCUUUUUUGUGAGAUAUUGUUUCUAGUAUGAGAGAGUUGAAAUAUUGUGUAGAUUCUAUUAGUAUGCUAGUUGAAAUGUAGAGGAGAUAAAAUAAUCAAGAAUGUCUCGAAAGGUUUAUGUAUUUGUGUAUGUAUCAACCGUUUUUAUAAAUACAUGUAUGUCAAAGAAAGAUAAAAAAGUAAUCAUCCCAUCAGAAUAUAGUUUUCUUGCAUCUGCUGCCAUUAAAAGAAAUUCACUUUCUAUUUUCUGUUUAACUGAAGACUUAGAUAUUGUGGAGGAUUUUUAUGCAAAAAAAU
This 342-nucleotide long non-coding RNA is filed under the name Mytilus galloprovincialis (Mediterranean mussel). The record is from RNAcentral. Lineage: Eukaryota; Metazoa; Mollusca; Bivalvia; Mytilida; Mytilidae.